AUUAUGGGGCUCUUCAACUUUUCCAGUCUGAGGCGUCUGGGCCCCAGAGCUGCCAUCUCUGGGCAAGGGGUGCGGGGAACCUGCUCUGGUCUCCGUGGUAACAGGGCUGCUCAGCUUGUAGGAGGGGAAUUCAAACGUUGGCAUUGCUAUAGUAACCCUUGAGUGGGAGGGUACCAGCGAGAGAGAAAUGACAUUAAGGACAUUGGGGGAGGAGUCAGAGUAACAACAGGGAACUGAGGUGUUCCUGGAGGGGUGGAGGAGUGUGGUGGAGGAAUCAGUUUGCAGCAGGGGAAGUUAGGCUGCUGUUGGGAGAACCGGGGUGUUGUGGAGGAGUGGGAGUGUUAUGAUGAAUCCGUGUGGGGAGAUCAUUGAGAAAGCAGUAACUGGGAUGCUUUGUACGAAGUGGAGAUGCAGUAGCAGAAAUUUUGUUUUGUCAGGCUUAUUCCAAAAACUUUACAUUUUAGAUGCUGUUGUAAAUCGUACCAUUUCUACUGUUUUCCCUAUUGUUUUUUUCUGUAUAGAAGUGCAAUAGAUUUCUGUAUAUAGAUUUUUUUCACCUUCUAAUCUUCGUCUGGCAGAGGUAAAACACUCACCACAUGUUCCACUUGCUCCCUGGCUCCUCCCACACUGCUGUAGGGAACUUGGGGACAUGGGACAGUUCUGGCUACUGAAAUCAACACCGGACAUUCCAGACAGAGGCCUGCAUGAGCCUUGGUCCCUGAGCAGCUACAUGGCACAGAGCCCUCCUGCCAACUACCAUGGUUUGAGUUGCCUGUUUAACUGUAACAUGGACCCGCUGACCAAACUCUUCCCUUUCUCCUUCUCCCCUACCCUUCUCAGCCCCCAUUCUGUGAGAUCAUCUAUUUUAGAUGCCCCAUAAAAGCGAGAUCAUUUGGUAAUUUUCUUUAUGUGCCUGGCUUGUUUCAGUUAAGAUAAUGUCCUUCAGGUUCAUUCAUGUUGCUGUAAAUGACAGGAUUUCAUUCUUUUAUAUGGCCAAAUAAUUUAAAAGAGCAAAAACAAGCAAAUAAAAUUAGUUUUAAUUGUAUAUAAUAUAUUAAUUUACUCAAAGUACCAUAAUGUAAAC
Molecule: long non-coding RNA, 1084 nt
Filed under: Microcebus murinus (gray mouse lemur)
Lineage: Eukaryota; Metazoa; Chordata; Mammalia; Primates; Cheirogaleidae
Description: lncRNA (ENSMICG00000048220.1)
Source: RNAcentral